Macaca fascicularis (crab-eating macaque) is the source of this 2856-nucleotide long non-coding RNA. Lineage: Eukaryota; Metazoa; Chordata; Mammalia; Primates; Cercopithecidae. The record is from Ensembl.
UUUUUUUUGUUUUGAAAUAGAGUCUAGCUUUGUCACCCAGGCUGGAAUGCAGUGGCACGAUCUUGGCUCACUGCAUGCAAUCUCUGCCUCUCAGGUUCAAGCCUGCCUCAUUCUCCCAAGUAGCUGGGACUCCCAAUGAGGUUCUCCUGCCUCAUUCUCCCAAAUAGCUGGGACUACAGGCGCAUGCCAACACACCCAGCUAAUUUUUGUAUUUUUAGUAGAGACGGGGUUUCACCACGUUGGUCAGGCUGGUCUCGAACUCUUGACCUCCGGUGAUCUGUCUGCCUGGGCCUCCCAAAGUGCUGGGAUUACAAGCGUGAGCCACCACGCCCGGCCUGCUUUUAAAUUUAACACAUGUGCAGGAAUCUGUUAACUUGCUCCUCAGCACUCCUCCCUCUUCCUGUUAAUUGCACUUUUUUUUUUUGAGACAGGGUUUCUGCUGCCCAGGCUGCAGUGCAAUGGUAUGAUCUUGGCUCACUGAAGCCUCAACCUCCGGGGUUGAAGUGAUCUUCCCACCUCAGCCUCCUGAGUAGCUGGGACCACAGGUGUGUGCUACCAUGCCUUUUUUUCUUUUUUCAGAGACAGGGUCUCUCUAUGUUGCCCAGGCUGGUCUCAGUGAUCCUCCCACCUUGGCCUCCCAAAGUGCUGUGAUUAGGCCUAUGUUGUGUGUCACUUUCUUAACAGACUUACAUUGCUACCAUAUCUACAGUAGUCUGUGGCCCAUCCCAGCCUCUGCAGCCCCACUGCCCUCUAUCUCAUUACCUGGCUUUAGUUCUCCCUCACACUUACCUGACCUGUGUGAUAACUCCUUCCCAUGAGACCGUGAGCUCUGCGGUGCAGGAACCUUGCCUUCCUGUACUGCUGCAAUUUCUGCCAUAUUCCCCGCCUCUAGGGCAAUGCCUGGCCGCAGCAAGUUCUCCCUAAACAUUUGCCGAGUCGAACUGUCCCUUACCGAGUCCUCCUCCAUCACCCGCAAGCCUGGCUGGUGACCUGGAGACUCGGGUGGUGGCAGGCUGCAGGGAUCUGGAACUGCCUGGGCCUUGCCACUACUGAGGCCUGGCCAUCCGACGUCUCCUUUGAUUCUGAAAGUUACUGGGAACCUUAAAAAUGGGCUGUAGGAAAAUAACUUAAAGGAUUAUAUUAGCCAGAUUUCUUUUCUACUGGCUUACAAGUUAAGAGCCCCAACAAAACCAUUAUUCCAAAUGACUACGUCCAACACCUUCAUAAAUAUUUUAAAUGACUGCAUCCUAUCUCAUGGAGUGGAAGCACCAGUUUGCUUAACCAACCCCCUAGGGCAGCAGUUCAGCGUCUCGUAAGUUUCUGCGAUUGUAAACAGCAAUACUAAGAACACCACUGUGCUGUACCUUUUUCUCUACCCAGAGUCAUUUUCAAGGAUGGCUUCUCAGAAUUACAACUGCCCAGGCAGACACAGCACGAACAUUUUAAGGAGCUUGAUAACAUCUACAAAAUUUCUUCCCACAAAAAAUCAUACAGCAGCCAGCCUCCCAUACUGUAGCCAGCACCAGGCGCCGCUCAGCACUGUGCAUCUCACAGGCAGAGCCACUCACUUCUGUUCUCAUUUGCGUUUCUGGAUCACCGCACAUAACGUGCAUUCUCAGCCAAGAAUUCACAGGGAGUCUCCAGAGUUUUCCUCCUUUACUGUGCCUUCUAUGGCAAGGCCACGAACACUGUUUCCUGUGUGUCACAGAUGUCUUUCCCCUUUUUAUUAGCGUAAUCUAGCUUUCUGAGUCUAUCGUGGCACGUCUCCUCGCUAUGGUCUCCUGAAGGCCGUUCUUCUCUGCCCUUUGAGGAACUCCAGCUUCUCCCAGGCUGCCCUGCUCCCAGCAAAGCAGAGCAGGGAGAGUUCUGAGGUGAGGGGCCUCAUUCACCCUUUCAGUCCAGGCUGCAUCAUCUGGUCCCCUUUCACAGUGUGCCAUGCCACAGCGCACCAUUCUUACAAUUAAAAAAGGCGAAAACCAAGCCCUAUGCUGAAGAGCAACCAAAUAGGGCAUGCAGCAAACAGACUCAGGGGCAAACCUAACGGUUCUACAUGAAGCACGAGAAGCACCCAGCAGCUAAGACAGCAGAGCCAUCCGGUCCAGCUCCCCUCCGUCAGCUGCAUGGACGCCUGUUGAGUCCCAGGGCACAGGCUGCUUUCUCAGGGUGAUGCUAGCUCCAAUUUAGUAUCUAUCAGCAGAUAACAGAAGCUCCUCUGAGGCUUCAAUCAAACCAACUCCCACCCAACAAUGUGCAAUAAGAAAGCAGCUAAAUCUAUGACUCAAUGGGCAGUUCUUUAAAAAUAAAAAUAAUAAUAAAAAAACAAGAAAAGCAAGCGGCUAAAUUACAAAAGAAAACCAAUCCCCAAACUUCUGCCAGCAGACCCCAGGUGACAUCAAAUACAAAGGUUGUUUCCAUACUAGCAAAAUACUUUAUUUUUAUAAUGAUAAAACAAGGAAAGUAAAGAUUUCUUUUUGGUGUAUACCAGAGUUAAGGGCAGUAGAACAAUAUGGGGAUUAAUAGGACUUUUAUGCACUUUUGAUGACAAUAAAAAGUUAACAAUGCCAACCGUUUGCCAUGAAACUCAUCGUAGCCCCCAACACACACAUAUAAAGGACCAUAGUUUUAAAAUCUAUAAAAGUAAAAAAUAUACAGUUGGAAGCUCUAGCGCUUAUUCCAUCUUUCAUAUAAAAUUGUAAACAUUUAUUUACACAAAGCAAAUGUGUAUAACAAAAGUCUGAGCACCCUUUUCUUCUGAGUCGUGGCUCCUGGAAGACGGGGCUGUGCACAGAAGCAAAGUCAUCUCCUCCCCUGACUCCCGAAAACCAGAUUCAUAAAUAAAGCCAUGGGCAGCUCCCU